GGAAGGGCUGCGCCUCGGAGCGGCUGUCUGAAGCGUCAGCAAGAUGUCAGGCUAAACAAUCCAAAUACGGUUGAGGAGAGAGAAAAGGAACUAAACAAGUGGAAUCAAAUCGUACAAGUGGUGGACCACUACCAGGGAAAGCAGCUCGCGUCCCCGAGACGAGAGUUGGCCGAGCCAGCACUCCUCUUGGAAACUACACUUUGUUUUUCCUCCAGGGAGCUGGGGACUCAAUCACCUGUGACUCACCAUUCCUGUGUUGCCUACACAGCACACACGUCAAGGUCUAAAAUGGCAUCUGCUCCCCGUCCCCUUCCCCCACGCCGGCCCCCACCUGCCCCUGGGUCAGACACCUUGAGGGAAUGUGUGUGGCUCCACCUUGAGCGUGGAAGCCAGGAACCUGCAGCUCCUCCCCCCCAACCCCCCCACUGAAACAUGGAGCAUGACCCAAAGAAUAAAGUUUUCCAUUUCCUGCCCUUACUCGUGUCGUAAUGCUUGUUUCUCUCCGGGGCUGCGCUCCCCUGCACUCGUGCUGUUAGAGAAUGAGAGCCUUGAAAAUUCAAAUUCAAAAAGAGUCUAUUCCUCGCCAAGUGUGCUAAACUUACAUCUGGGUGUGGGCUGUGGUUAUGAUUGUAGAAAACUUCAGUUAAAGAGAGGAACACUGACAUUAACAAUAACACCAGUCACUUCUUGAAUAUUUAACACGGUGCUGAGUAUUUCCCUUGUUAUCACAGUUGUUCCCCCCAACAACUGCACUGUUAUUAUGCCCGUUUGAGACGGAGAGUGGUUCAGUAACCUGCCCAAGGCUACACAGCUAUUAAAUGCUAGAGCUGGGAUUUGAACCGGGUCACUGGAACUUCAAAGUCGGUGCUUCUCACUUUCCUUGUAAGCCUCACCUCGCCCUGCCCCGCCCCACCGCCAUUUUGUGCCCUGCUCUGCACUGACAUACCACCUGAUGUCCCAGUUCAAGAAGCCUCUCUCCAUCUCCUGCCACCCACUACAUCCUGACUUAAUUUCUCUCCUUGCCGGCACCAGUGUGUGGCGAAGAGAAAGAGGGGGCUUGUUUCAAAGUGAAAUACUCUCUAAGGUUAAAAGACUGGCUUUGGAGGCCUUGGGGGGGGGGGUUACGAAUGAACAUUUUAUCAACACAAAUGUCAUUGCCUGCCCCAAAACAAACAGCGUCCCACCCGGCUUGUUCCUUUAUGAGGCAUUCAAUCAAUAAAAUGAGAGCAGGACUCUGUCAGAUUUAUUGGCUAGGUUCAAACCGAACACCUCUUCCACCCGCCAAAGGCUGGGUCACCAGCUCUACCUUUCGUCCCAACUCUGGACAGCCCCUGUUUUCCCCUCCGGGGCUACAAUGGCUCAUUGUUUGAGGCAGGCCUUGUGAGAAGUUGUGUUUGUUUUGCCUCUUAUCUUAUCAGCUCCAG
Long non-coding RNA from Panthera uncia (snow leopard), 1424 nucleotides. RefSeq lists it as uncharacterized. The transcript has 3 exons. NCBI's taxonomy places the organism in Eukaryota, Metazoa, Chordata, Mammalia, Carnivora, Felidae. The record is from RefSeq and is a predicted model, not a curated record.